This 405-nucleotide ribosomal RNA is filed under the name uncultured eukaryote. RNAcentral describes it as "SSU rRNA". It matches the Rfam family "Eukaryotic small subunit ribosomal RNA", at positions 587 to 998 of the family's 1831-position model. The record is from RNAcentral.
AGCUCCAAUAGCGUAUAUUAAAGUUGUUGCGGUUAAAAAGCUCGUAGUUGGAUUUCUGCUGGGGACAACUGGUCUGCCUACUGGGUAAGUAUUUGUGUGUCUCAAGCAUGUUCUUGGAUGGCACUUCUGCACUUGACUGUGUGGUGUGAUCUCCAAGGUUGUUACUUUGAGGAAAUUAGAGUGUUCACGGCAGGCAAACGCCUUGAAUACAUUAGCAUGGAAUAAUAAUAUAGGACUUUAGCCCUAUUUUGUUGGUUUCUAGAGCUAGAGUAAUGAUUAAUAGGGAUAAUUGGGGGCAUUCGUAUUAACGCGUCAGAGGUGGAAUUCUUGGAUUGCGUUACGACGAACUACUGCGAAAGCAUUUGCCAAGGACGUUCUCAUUAAUCAAGACGAAAGUUAAGCACG